GACAUCAGGAAAAAUGCUCAGCUCUUUCAGAGCUGGUGUGAAAUAUUCCCUUGUCCCCGUCUCCCACUCCCAGCCUUCCUCCUGCCCUUCUCAGUUUGACCUCCCAGUGUGUGUAUUGUUUAUACUCUGCUUUUUUUUUUUUUAAUAAAUGCACAUUUCCUUCUACAGGGUCACAUAACAGCUGUUCAUGUAAGACUCUCCCAGUAGUUUUGUGAACUUCAUUCAGCUCAAAAACAACUCAAAAGCCAAAAACAGUCCUACCAAAUCCUCAACCCUUGCACUGGAGAAGAAUUCAAGCUAACAAUCACAGAUUACUAAAGCUGAGGAAGAAUCACUUCUAGAGGUUGGAGACAUUCCUGUAACAGAGAAAAGGAGGGAGGAAAAUACGAAGGACUCAAAAGGUGUUUAUGUUGGACAAGUAAUAUCCGUAAGAUCUUCUGUAUCAGAUUUCAAAAGGAAAAAAAAAUCACUUAAAUUAGUAUAUUGCAAUUUGACAAUGCAAAAUUUAAAAAUAACAGAAAUGAGAGUUAAACAGGUUUCCUUAAGUUUUAUCAUCCAGGAUGAUCGUAUUUCAAUAUUAGGAAUUCUGGCAUUCUUCCUGUCCUUUACAAAUUGCAUACUACCUCUUGGUUGCUGUAAAUUAUUCCUAGGUUAAAAGUAAGUUUGAGGGAAGGGGGACACUGCCCUCACUGUGACAUGCAUGUACGUAGCCCUGAUACUAAAUGCAAGUCUGGUUCUAAGACAGGCUUUGUGGGACAACUGACAUACAAAUGGCUAUUUGAAAAAAGUACAGAAUCCAGAAAACUCAUUUGAGAGCACUGUUUUCUAUUGCCUCAACAGGAAGUACCACUGCUUUGGUGAAAAAGAAUCCCUCAGACUCAAAACCUUUAGGGAAAUGCCAUCAACUGAGCAAGAUGAACAAUACCACACACUGGACAGCAUGUAGGUCUUCAGUGCUUUCUAUUGGAUCAGCACAAACUGAUAUAUCUUGAUGAUUUGUUGAAGCAUUAUUACAAUCUUAUUCUCCCCAUUUUAAAGAUCCCCACAUGCCAUACUGUGGAUAGUGCACCACAAUCUAGUGAGAGAGAUGAAUAGGGGACCUAGAAUUGAAACAAAAGGGAGUGGGAAUUAAGAAGUUACCUGUAGGGUGCCUGACUGGCUCAGUCAAUAGAACACGCAGCUCUCAAUUUCGGGGUUGUGAGUACAAGACCCAUGUUGGGCAUGGAGCCUACUUAAAAAAAAAAGUUAUUCCCUUAUAAAAUCACUCCAGCUUAAAUAAAAUUUCAUUUUAACAGAAUAAUACA
This 1304-nucleotide long non-coding RNA is filed under the name Felis catus (domestic cat). Its description in RNAcentral is "lncRNA (ENSFCAG00000047800.1)". The record is from RNAcentral. Lineage: Eukaryota; Metazoa; Chordata; Mammalia; Carnivora; Felidae.